This 202-nucleotide long non-coding RNA is filed under the name Lathyrus oleraceus (garden pea). RNAcentral describes it as "Pisum sativum (pea) long non-coding RNA (PSAT_LNC003639)". Lineage: Eukaryota; Viridiplantae; Streptophyta; Magnoliopsida; Fabales; Fabaceae. The record is from RNAcentral.
UUUUGCACCGCUUCAGGCUUGGUUUGGUGCAAUUUUGUGCUCUGCAGGUUGGAGCUUGUUGUUGUUUAACAUUGGGUUGCAGCCGGUGUUCUUGGUUGUUAAGCUGAGCUUACACGUGCAGCUUGCCGUUUUCAAUUAUCCACUACAACUUGGCUUGUUGUUAUUCUCACUGCGUUUCUCUUUUGUGCUUGUAGCUAGCUAC